GAUGAACGCUGGCGGCGUGCCUAAUACAUGCAAGUCGAGCGAACAGACGAGGAGCUUGCUCCUCUGACGUUAGCGGCGGACGGGUGAGUAACACGUGGAUAACCUACCUAUAAGACUGGGAUAACUUCGGGAAACCGGAGCUAAUACCGGAUAAUAUAUUGAACCGCAUGGUUCAAUAGUGAAAGACGGUUUUGCUGUCACUUAUAGAUGGAUCCGCGCCGCAUUAGCUAGUUGGUAAGGUAACGGCUUACCAAGGCAACGAUGCGUAGCCGACCUGAGAGGGGGAUCGGCCACACGGGAACUGAGACACGGUCCAGACUCCUACGGGAGGCAGCAGUAGGGAAUCUGCCGCAAUGGGCGAAAGCCUGACGGAGCAACGCCGCGUGAAUGAUGAAGGUCUUCGGAUCGUAAAACUCUGUUAUUAGGGAAGAACAAAUGUGUAAGUAACUAUGCACGUCUUGACGGUACCUAAUCAGAAAGCCACGGCUAACUACGUG
This 497-nucleotide ribosomal RNA is filed under the name uncultured bacterium. Its description in RNAcentral is "partial 16S ribosomal RNA". It matches the Rfam family "Bacterial small subunit ribosomal RNA", at positions 28 to 507 of the family's 1533-position model. The record is from RNAcentral.